This 288-nucleotide small RNA is filed under the name Deinococcus puniceus. RNAcentral describes it as "5' ureB small RNA". It matches the Rfam family "5' ureB small RNA". Lineage: Bacteria; Thermotogati; Deinococcota; Deinococci; Deinococcales; Deinococcaceae. The record is from Rfam by way of RNAcentral.
CCGUCCAGCACUGCUGCGGCGCAAUAAAAUGAAUGUGGGUAUCCACGCCGCCCGCCGUAAGAAUGUGGCCCUCGCCCGCGAUGAUUUCGGUGCUGGCCCCGAUGGUCAGGCCCGGACUGACGCCGUCCUGCGUGCCGGGAUUGCCCGCCUUGCCAAUCGCCGUAAUCCGCCCGUUCUUCACGCCUACAUCGGCCUUAAUCACGCCCCAGUGAUCCAGAAUGAUCGCGUUGGUGAUGACCAGAUCGGGCACGUUCGGAUCGGCGCGGGUAGCGGUGCUGCUCUGGCCGA